Limulus polyphemus (Atlantic horseshoe crab) is the source of this 276-nucleotide long non-coding RNA. RefSeq lists it as uncharacterized. The transcript is spliced from 3 exons. Lineage: Eukaryota; Metazoa; Arthropoda; Merostomata; Xiphosura; Limulidae. The record is from RefSeq and is a predicted model, not a curated record.
UUAAUUUCUUCUCUGUGUGAAAUAGUUACACUGAUGUUUAUUGUUAUUCUGCCAGAUGACUUCCAUCAUCUCACCUAUUUCAGAGAUGGCUUCCUUAUUUCGGAACUUUUUUACGAAAUCUGUUUUAGAGGACUUCUAGUUCUGGGAAGUAAUUCAGAAAAAUUUUACCUUCAGGUUCAUGAGGACUGGACUGUUCUCUCUAUAAUACUAUAUUUCUGUACUAUGAAGUGGAAUUGAAACCAAGUAAUAAAAAACAGAAGUUGUUCGUACAAGCUA